RNAcentral lists this ribosomal RNA (424 nucleotides) under uncultured bacterium. RNAcentral describes it as "partial 16S ribosomal RNA". It matches the Rfam family "Bacterial small subunit ribosomal RNA", at positions 354 to 796 of the family's 1533-position model. The record is from RNAcentral.
GUGGGGAAUCUUGCGCAAUGGGCGAAAGCCUGACGCAGCCAUGCCGCGUGAAUGAUGAAGGUCUUAGGAUUGUAAAAUUCUUUCACCGGGGACGAUAAUGACGGUACCCGGAGAAGAAGCUCCGGCUAACUUCGUGCCAGCAGCCGCGGUAAUACGAAGGGGGCUAGCGUUGCUCGGAAUUACUGGGCGUAAAGGGCGCGUAGGCGGACAGCUUAGUCAGAGGUGAAAGCCCAGGGCUCAACCUUGGAAUUGCCUUUGAUACUGGCUGUCUUGAGUUUGGGAGAGGUGAGUGGAACUCCGAGUGUAGAGGUGAAAUUCGUAGAUAUUCGGAAGAACACCAGUGGCGAAGGCGACUCACUGGCCCAAUACUGACGCUGAGGCGCGAAAGCGUGGGGAGCAAACAGGAUUAGAAACCCUGUAGUCC